ACUGUAAACGUAUUUUCAAAUGACCCUUUGUUUAUUCUGAUCAAGAAUUUAAAAUUUCAUACCUAAAUUUUCCCUAAAACAGGGUGAUAAAGUAUCUUUAUCAACCUGCUAUUAAAUAAGUUGAGUAAAAUCGAAUAAAACUAUUUAUGUUAUUGUAAUUGUCAAUUGAAAUUGCACGGACAUGGUCCCUUUCAGACAUAUUAUUAUGUGAUAUUUUUAUGAACACACUUUUUUAUAUAAAUUUUACAUAUUUUAUAAUUUAUCUGCAAUAUUUUAAAUUCAAUAUUUUGUUCAAAAAAAUGUGAAAGCACGUUUUUAGUUUGAACCUGGAAUAUUUUGUUGAAUAAUUUGUUAUCAGGUAUAUUUUGACACCCUGUUCAUGUAUUUUAGUUAAAUUCCUCUAUACAGCUGUGUGAUGCAUGCCUGGCCAAGUAACAUUGAUUUACAAAUUUUUGUGGACUUGUAGACUCGAAUUAGCUACAGGGGGACCCAGACUUGUAGACUCGAAUUAGCUACAGGGGGACCCAGACUUGUAGACUCGAAUUAGCUACAGGGGGACCCAGACUUGUAGACUCGAAUUAGCUACAGGGGGACCCAGCAAAACAAGUCUUUCUUUAUUUUGAAUGGAGAUGUGUAUUGUUUUAAUUCUCCAUUCUGAACUGAGAAAUUAUUUGUUUUCAUCGAAAAAAAAAAUACAUUUUUUGUCAAACUUUUCCAAGUUUUAUACAUCAAAUCUAGUCCUAAUAUUUUUGUGAUAUAUGAAACACCCUGUAUUAUUAUUGUUUCUAAUUUACUGGUGUAAUUACACAGCAUCUUUAAAUUUCAGAAGAAUGACCGCUAGCUAUGGAUAAAUCGAUAAAUCUAAAACUUCCAGAUAGAUAGAUAGAUAGUAUAGCAGAGAAGACAAAAAAACUACCGGACAUAUAAUCUAGUUUUGCUCAAG
Long non-coding RNA from Eurytemora carolleeae, 943 nucleotides. RefSeq lists it as uncharacterized. The record is from RefSeq and is a predicted model, not a curated record. The transcript has 2 exons. Lineage: Eukaryota; Metazoa; Arthropoda; Copepoda; Calanoida; Temoridae.